Long non-coding RNA from Drosophila mojavensis, 833 nucleotides. RefSeq lists it as uncharacterized. Lineage: Eukaryota; Metazoa; Arthropoda; Insecta; Diptera; Drosophilidae. The record is from RefSeq and is a predicted model, not a curated record. The transcript is spliced from 2 exons.
UCUCACAUGUUUAUUAAAUUCAAAAUCUGAAGCUUGUUAAAGUAUCAUUUACAGUUAAGGUCUUUGGUAAAUGAUUUCCAUAAAUUACCUGGCUUAUUUAUUUUGCAUUUAUCAAUUCCCAUAAAACUGCUUAUCGACAAAUUUCUUCACACUCUCAUAUAUCAAAGAUCGUAGCAGCCAGAGAGCUGGCAGAUUAGUACACUUAAUAUUUAAGCUGAAUCUGAUGUCAACCUGUUUGGUUCCCCUAAGCCGAAAAAAAAACAAGAAUAUCUCUGUCGAAUCACUUUAGUCAGUUGCAAUAAAUUAGUGCGUGUUGUCAUAAAACCAAAUUUACAAAUUGUCCCCCAACAGCAGAGGGAAAAUAAAAAAGGCACAAAGAAUCAACUCAUAUGCGGCCUAUGGCUGCGACGACAUAGACAUCAUCGACAUCAUCAGAGAGUGGAAGCUGCAGCUGCAGUUGGAGUUGAAGUUGAAGCUGGAGUUGGAGUUGGAGGGAGCUCUCAGGGCCGACGAUAAACUCAUCAAUAAAUUGCCUGUUGUCUGGCUGUGGUUUGAGAGACAACAAACGCGCGACACCACCAACGCACUUGAUGAUGUGUCCACCGAGAGUCCAGCACUCUUCGCCGUCGUCGCAUCUUCCCAUCUUCCCAUCUCCCUGCUCUGGCUGCGUUUCGGGUGGUCGGAAUUUCUUUUUGGUGAAGCGCGUGGCUAAGUGGAUUUGUGUGUUCGUUGGUGCGCGAGAAAAAUGUUUAUUGUUUCAACAUUGUUAUCAGCCUUAAGUAAACAGACUCUGCUCAAUUUUUGAUUUCUAAUUUGUUUACCCACACCACAAA